This 492-nucleotide ribosomal RNA is filed under the name uncultured bacterium. RNAcentral's name for it is "partial 16S ribosomal RNA". It matches the Rfam family "Bacterial small subunit ribosomal RNA", at positions 29 to 507 of the family's 1533-position model. The record is from RNAcentral.
AGUGAACGCUGGCGGUGGGCCUAACACAUGCAAUUCGAGCGGCAGCACAGUAAGAGCUUGCUCUUACGGGUGGCGGGUGGCGGACGGGUGAGGCGUAGAUCGGAAUCUACUUUUUCUUGGGGGAUAUCGGGGGGCCAGUUACACUACUACCUCAUACGACCUACCGGUGCAAUCAGGGGAGCUUCGCAGCUUUCCUGCCUGACUGAGCCGAUUGCGGAUUAGCUAGUUGGCGGGGUAACGGCCCACCAAGGCGACGAUCCGUUGCUGAUCUGAGAGGAUGAUCGGCCACACUGGAACGGAGACACGGUCCAGACUCCUACGGGAGGCAGCAGUGGGGAAUAUUGCACAAUGGGCGAAAGCCUGAAGGAGCCAGCCCGCGUGGGUGAAGAAGGCAUUCGGGUCGUAAAGCUCUUUUGUUGGGAAAGAAAAGAAGCAGGUUAAAAUCAAGCUGUUCUGACGGUACCAAAGCAAUAAGCACCGGCUAACUUCGUG